GACGAACGCUGGCGGCGUGCUUAACACAUGCAAGUCGAACGGUGAAGCUCCAGCUUGCUGGAGUGGAUCAGUGGCGAACGGGUGAGUAACACGUGAGCAACCUGCCCCUGACUCUGGAAUAAGCGCUGGAAACGGCGUCUAAUACUGGAUACGAGAAGGGUCCGCAUGGGCACUUUCUGGAAAGUUUUUCGGUUGGGGAUGGGCUCGCGGCCUAUCAGCUUGUUGGUGAGGUAAUGGCUCACCAAGGCGACGACGGGUAGCCGGCCUGGGAGGGCGACCGGCCCCACUGGGACUGCGACACGGCCCAGACUCCUACGGGAGGCAGCAGUGGCGAAUCUUGCCCAAUGGGCGAAAGCCUGAUGCAGCGACGCCGCGUGAGGGAUGACGGCCUUCGGGUUGUAAACCUCUUUCAGCAGGGAAGAAGCGAAAGUGACGGUACCUGCAGAAGAAGCACCGGCUAACUACGUG
RNAcentral lists this ribosomal RNA (468 nucleotides) under uncultured bacterium. RNAcentral's name for it is "partial 16S ribosomal RNA". It matches the Rfam family "Bacterial small subunit ribosomal RNA", at positions 28 to 507 of the family's 1533-position model. The record is from RNAcentral.